CACAGGGGCUAGAACAGGGAGAGGCCUGAGAGACUGACUGGCCAGCCUUCUGGUUUUAAAGAUGAGGAGGAAGGGGCUUGAUAAAGAUUGGGCAACUGGAGAACCGCCCCAGGUGUGGUUUCCCAGCCCUCCACUCCGCACCCCACUCACCACCUCACUCCACACAUCUCCUCAUUCCACGCAUCUCCUCACUCCACACAUCUCCUCACUCCACACAUCUCACUCCACACAUCUCACUCCACACAUCUCACUCCACACAUCACCUCACUCCACGCAUCUCACUCCACACAUCUCACUCCACGCAUCUCACUCCACACGUCUCACUCCACACAUCAUACUCCACACAUCUCACUCCACACAUCUCCUCAUUCCACACAUCUCACUCCACACAUCACCUCACUCCACGCAUCUCACUCCACACAUCUCACUCCACACAUCUCACUCCACACAUCACCUCACUCCACGCAUCUCACUCCACACAUCAUACUCCACACAUCUCACUCCACACAUCACCUCACUCCACGCAUCUCACUCCACACAUCUCCUCACUCCACGCAUCUCACUCCACACAUCUCACUCCACACAUCUCACUCCACACAUCUCCUCAUUCCACACAUCUCACUCCACACAUCACCUCACUCCACGCAUCUCACUCCACACAUCUCCUCACUCCACACAUCUCACUCCACACAUCUCCUCACUCCACACAUCUCACUCCACACAUCUCCUCACUCCACACAUCUCCUCACUCCACACAUCUCACUCCACACAUCUCCUCACUCCACACAUCUCCUCACUCCACACAUCUGACUCCACACAUCUCACUCCACGCAUCUCCUCACUCCACGCAUCUCACUCCACACAUCAUACUCCACACAUCUCACUCCACACAUCUCCUCAUUCCACACAUCUCACUCCACACAUCUCCUCAUUCCACACAUCUCACUCCACACAUCUCCUCAUUCCACACAUCUCACUCCACACAUCUCCUCACUCCACGCAUCUCACUCCACACAUCACUUCACUCCACGCAUCUCACUCCACACAUCUCCUCAUUCCACACAUCUCACUCCGCACAUCUCCUCAUUCCACACAUCUCACUCCACACAUCUCCUCACUCCACACAUCUCACUCCACGCAUCAACUCACUCCACGCAUCUCACUCCACACAUCUCCUUACUCCACACAUCUCACUCCACGCAUCUCCUCACUCCAUGCGUCUCCUCACUCCACACAUCUCCUCACUCCACACAUCUGACUCCACACAUCUCACUCCACGCAUCUCCUCACUCCACACAUCUCACUCCACGCAUCUCCUCACACCACGCAUCUCACUCCACACAUCUCCUCACUCCACACAUCUCCUCACUCCACACAUCUCACUCCAGACAUCUCCUCACUCCACACAUCUCACUCCACGCAUCUCCUCACUCCAUGCGUCUCCUCACUCCACGCAUCUCCUCACACCACGCAUCUCACUCCACACAUCUCCUCACUCCACGCAUCUCACUCCACACAUCUCCUCACUCCACACAUCUCCUCACUCCACAGAAAUCCUCACUGUACGCAUCUCCUUAUCCCACGCCUCCCCUCGUCCCACGUCCCGUGGUCACACUCAUGUCCUCACUGCACACCUCCUGCUGCCUUCUGCAAGGUUCGACUGCUGACUUUGCUUCCCACAGCAUUUCCACUGCUUGACACAGGUGAAUGGCUCCGACCCCAUUU
This 1725-nucleotide long non-coding RNA is filed under the name Pan troglodytes (chimpanzee). RNAcentral describes it as "long non-coding RNA NONPTRT010955". Lineage: Eukaryota; Metazoa; Chordata; Mammalia; Primates; Hominidae. The record is from RNAcentral.